AACGAACGCUGGCGGCAUGCCUAACACAUGCAAGUCGAACGAGACCUUCGGGUCUAGUGGCGCACGGGUGCGUAACGCGUGGGAACCUGCCCUUAUGUUCGGAAUACCUCCCCGAAAGGGGUGCUAAUACCGGAUAAUGUCUUCGGACCAAAGAUUUAUCGCCUUUGGAUGGGCCCGCGUUGGAUUAGCUAGUUGGUAGGGUAAAAGCCUACCAAGGCGACGAUCCAUAGCUGGUCUGAGAGGAUGAUCAGCCACACUGGGACUGAGACACGGCCCAGACUCCUACGGGAGGCAGCAGUGGGGAAUAUUGGACAACGGGCGAAAGCCUGAUCCAGCAAUGCCGCGUGAGUGAUGAAGGCCUUAGGGUUGUAAAGCUCUUUUAACCGGGAUGAUAAUGACAGUACCGGGAGAAUAAGCUCCGGCUAACUCCGUG
Molecule: ribosomal RNA, 433 nt
Filed under: uncultured bacterium
Lineage: Bacteria
Description: partial 16S ribosomal RNA
Rfam family: Bacterial small subunit ribosomal RNA
Source: RNAcentral